Molecule: transfer RNA, 72 nt
Filed under: Bos taurus (domestic cattle)
Lineage: Eukaryota; Metazoa; Chordata; Mammalia; Artiodactyla; Bovidae
Also listed under: 5 other names
Rfam family: tRNA
About the family: Transfer RNA (tRNA) molecules are approximately 80 nucleotides in length. Their secondary structure includes four short double-helical elements and three loops (D, anti-codon, and T loops).
Source: Rfam by way of RNAcentral
UCCCUUGUAGCUCAGUCGGUAAAGAAUCUGCCUGCAGUGCAGGAAACCCGGGUUCGAUCCCUGGGUUGGGAA